This 116-nucleotide ribosomal RNA is filed under the name Propithecus coquereli (Coquerel's sifaka). Lineage: Eukaryota; Metazoa; Chordata; Mammalia; Primates; Indriidae. The record is from RNAcentral.
GUGUAUGGCCAUACCACCCUGAGCAUGCCUGAUCUCAUCUGACCUCGGAAGAGAAGCAGGAUUGGGCCUGGUUAGUACUUGGGUGGGAGGCCUAAUGAAUAAGGAGGCUGAGCAUC